CUACGUAGCUCAGAGUUUGUAUCCUGGCGUCAGGACGAACGCUGGCGGCGUGCUUAACACAUGCAAGUCGAGCGGGGAUUAGUGAGGUGCUUGCACCGAUCUAAUUCUAGCGGCGGACGGGUGAGUAACGCGUGAGCAAUCUGUCCUACACAGGGGGAUAACAACUGGAAACAGUUGCUAAUACCGCAUAAGACCACGGCAUCGCAUGUUGCUGAGGUAAAAGAUUUAUCGGUGUAGGGUGAGCUCGCGUCUGAUUAGCUAGUUGGUGAGGUAACGGCCCACCAAGGCGACGAUCAGUAGCCGACCUGAGAGGGUGAUCGGCCACAUUGGAACUGAGACACGGUCCAG
Molecule: ribosomal RNA, 348 nt
Filed under: uncultured bacterium
Lineage: Bacteria
Description: bacterial SSU rRNA
Rfam family: Bacterial small subunit ribosomal RNA
Source: RNAcentral